This is a long non-coding RNA of Sapajus apella (tufted capuchin), 162 nucleotides long. RefSeq lists it as uncharacterized. The record is from RefSeq and is a predicted model, not a curated record. NCBI's taxonomy places the organism in Eukaryota, Metazoa, Chordata, Mammalia, Primates, Cebidae. The transcript is spliced from 3 exons.
GGAUGAAGCCAGAAACCAUCAUUCUCAGCAAACUAACACAAGAACAGAAAACCAAACACCUCAUGUUCUCACUCAUAAGUGGGAGUUGAACAAUGAGAACACACGGACACAGGGAGGGAAACAUCAUAAACCAGGGCCUGUCGGGUGGAGAGGAGGUCAAGG